UGAGUGCGAGCGGCUACGGCCGCGAAGUGGGUGAUGUCAAGCUUCCAAGAAAAGCCCUAUACCCGUUAAGGCAUGAUGGCCUGUACCCGAAACCGACACAGGUGGGGUGGUAGAGAAUACCGAGGGGCGCGAGGUAACUCUCUCUAAGGAACUCGGCAAAAUGGCCCCGUAACUUCGGGAGAAGGGGUGCCACCGCAAGGUGGUCGCAGUGAAGAGGCCCAGGCGACUGUUUACCAAAAACACAGGUCUCCGCUAAGUCGCAAGACGAUGUAUGGGGGCUGACGCCUGCCCAGUGCCGGAAGGUUAAGGAAGCUGGUCAGCGCAAGCGAAGCUAGCGACUGAAGCCCCGGUGAACGGCGGCCGUAACUAUAACGGUCCUAAGGUAGCGAAAUUCCUUGUCGGGUAAGUUCCGACCCGCACGAAAGGCGUAACGAUCUGGGCGCUGUCUCGGAGAGAGGCUCGGCGAAAUAGAAUUGUCUGUGAAGAUGCGGACUACGUGCACCCGGACAGAAAGACCCUAUGAAGCUUUACUGUAGCUUGGUACUGUGCCCGGGCUCUGAAUGCGCAGGAUAGGUGGGAGGCUUUGAUCCAUGGCUUGCGGGUCAUGGUGAGCCAACGGUGAGAUACCACUCUUUCAGAGCUAGGGUUCUAACGGUCACCCGUCAUCCGGGGACCGGACAGUAUCAGGUGGGCAGUUUGACUGGGGCGGUCGCCUCCUAAAAGGUAACGGAGGCGCGCAAAGGUUUGCUCAGGCUGGUUGGAAAUCAGCCGACGAGUGCAAAAGCAGAAGCAAGCUUGACUGUGAGACCUACAAGUCGAACAGGGACGAAAGUCGGCUUUAGUGAUCCGACGGUUCUGAGUGGAAGGGCCGUCGCUCAACGGAUAAAAGUUACUCUAAGGAUAACAGGCUGAUCUCCCCCAAGAGUUCACAUCGACGGGGAGGUUUGGCACCUCGAUGUCGGCUCAUCGCAACCUGGGGCUGAAGUCGGUCCCAAGGGUUGGGCUGUUCGCCCAUUAAAGCGGUACGCGAGCUGGGUUCAGAACGUCGUGAGACAGUUCGGUCCAUAUCCGGUGCACGCGCAGGAACAUUGAGAGGAUUUCUCCCCAGUACGAGAGGACCGGGAGGAACGCACCUCUGGUGUGCCAGUUAUCGUGCCAACGGUAAACGCUGGGUAGCCAUGUGCGGAGUGGAUAACCGCUGAAAGCAUCUAAGUGGGAAGCCCACCUCAAGAUGAGUGUUCCCAUGGCAUAAGCCAGUAAGGUCACGGGAAGAACACCCGUUGAUAGGCUCUACGUGGAAGCCGGGUAACCGGUGAAGCGGAGGAGUACUAAUAGACCGAGGGCUUGACCAC
This 1352-nucleotide ribosomal RNA is filed under the name metagenome. RNAcentral describes it as "bacterial LSU rRNA". It matches the Rfam family "Bacterial large subunit ribosomal RNA", at positions 1564 to 2925 of the family's 2925-position model. The record is from RNAcentral.